UUAACACAUGCAAGUCGAGGGGAAACGACGGGGAAGCUUGCUUCCCCGGGCGUCGACCGGCGCACGGGUGAGUAACGCGUAUCCAACCUGCCUCUGACUGAGGGAUAACCCGUCGAAAGUCGGCCUAAUACCUCAUGGCAUCGUCUGCGGGCAUCCAACGACGAUUAAAGAUUUCAUCGGUCAGGGAUGGGGAUGCGUCUGAUUAGCUUGUUGGCGGGGUAACGGCCCACCAAGGCGACGAUCAGUAGGGGUUCUGAGAGGAAGGUCCCCCACAUUGGAACUGAGACACGGUCCAAACUCCUACGGGAGGCAGCAGUGAGGAAUAUUGGUCAAUGGGCGGAAGCCUGAACCAGCCAAGUAGCGUGCAGGAAGACGGCCCUAUGGGUUGUAAACUGCUUUUAUGCGGGGAUAAAGUGAGGGACGUGUCCUUCAUUGCAGGUACCGCAUGAAUAAGGACCGGCUAAUUCCGUGCCAGCAGCCGCGGUAAUACGGAAGGUCCGGGCGUUAUCCGGAUUUAUUGGGUUUAAAGGGAGCGUAGGCCGUGGAUUAAGCGUGUUGUGAAAUGCAGGUGCUCAACGUCUGCACUGCAGCGCGAACUGGUCCACUUGAGUGUGCGCAACGCAGGCGGAAUUCGUCGUGUAGCGGUGAAAUGCUUAGAUAUGACGAAGAACUCCGAUUGCGAAGGCAGCUUGCGGGAGCACAACUGACG
RNAcentral lists this ribosomal RNA (709 nucleotides) under uncultured Bacteroidales bacterium. Its description in RNAcentral is "bacterial SSU rRNA". It matches the Rfam family "Bacterial small subunit ribosomal RNA", at positions 48 to 745 of the family's 1533-position model. The record is from RNAcentral. Lineage: Bacteria; Pseudomonadati; Bacteroidota; Bacteroidia; Bacteroidales.